CCCCCUCGGGGCUGGGCAUUGGCAGAACAUCGGCUUGGCCUGGGGGCAGUUCGCCUUGGAGAGCCGGACACGGUGGGAUCCCGGCGUGUGGGCCGGACCGGGGGCGCAGGGUCCUGCCCCUCGCGGCGAAGACUGCGGCCCCGGCGCGCAGGGGGAUGCGGGGAGUAGUGCCCGGCUCUGCGGGACGCGGCCGCGCUCCGCCCACCCCUGGGCGGCGGCGGCGGCAUCGCAGCGGGCAUCUGGUGAGGUCAGCCCCGGGCACGCAGCCGGGGGCGGGAGUGAUAUUGGGGCUCCAGCGUGCAGCCCGGCUCGGGAGCCUGUCACCCUGCGGUCAAAGGACUGUCCCGUCCCCUACACCUGGGGAGGAAGGUAGAGAGGGCCCAGCUGAUAAAAGAUCACGCAAAGGCCCUGAUAGAACUGGAAGUGGUACAAAAACUGAAAGCAGAAGAGCUCCUGAUCAAGCAGAAAACUGAAGCACAUUAUCAGAAGAUCAUUAUUGAACAGUAUCCAAGAAAGAUGACAGCAGAACUGAUCAACAAGUCUGGAACCCCUAAUUUGGCAACGGUUGUAGAGGUUGAUGAGACUGUUAUUUAGAAAAGAAAGUAAGGAGAAGGUUGUGGACAUUUUGGCAGAUGGUAAAGCUGUGGAAACAAACCAGGAACCAUCAAGGGACAAACCUGACAGGGAAGACGACUCAGUACAUGAAUGAGAAUGAGCUGAAUGAAUCACUAACAGGACAUCUCAUGAGGAAGCCUCAAAUGAGAACACUGCAAGCAAAGAUCCCAUAAAGCUUUCUGAGAUGUCUGGUAGAACACAGCAAACCUAGGAAUGAAUAAGACAUGAAAACCAAAGACAUAGUAGUUUCACAUGACAAGUAUGAAUCCAGUGAAGAACUGAAAUUAAUAUAAAGACAAAAAAUAAGGUAUAUGAAUUGACUAAAUUAUCUUCCUCUUGUGUACAGUACUCUGGAAAUAAGUAGGAAAGAGUCUUCCUUUCUGUUCAUGAUGGUCCACAGAUACUAAGGCCCUGAUCCUGAUAUGUAAUAUGUGUGUGCAGACUGGUGUCUGUAUUUGCAUGGGAAAGUAAAAUAAAGCAGUGCACGAUAAAAGACUUUGGAGCAGUUUUUUCUUUAAACUUUCUGUACCUCUUGCAUCCUUGCAUUCUACACCACCUAUUAUAUUGAUUUUUAAAAAUAUGUCCUGGCAAAUAUAAUGACACUACUAAUUUUGUACUCAUAUUUAAUGGAUCCAAUUUGAUUACUGUAUCUGUAAUUGCUAAUUUUGGAAAUAGUGCAUCCUUUAGAACAGUUCUUAAAGUGGUAGACUUUACUAAAUCUCAGUCACAAAGCAAAUGAAACUAGCAUCUUUACAUUUUGCCUGUGAAACAGUAUCCUGGAUUUCUAGUUAAAUAAUUGCAUAAAAUAUCUUCUGAAUAAUUGCUACUGUGCACCUGCUAAAUUUAGAAUUUGUUUAAACUGCUUUGAAGUUUUUAAUAAGGUUUUAGCACAGCUCCUAUGCCAAUCAUAUUUUAAAAUCUAGGUUAUUAAAAGCUAUUUUAUCCUGUAUGUUCAGUUGUCUAUAGGUUUUUUAUGAUUAUGCAUACUUUGGAUCCAAUUUGAAUGAGGGAAGUGUCAAAAAUCAUGUUUUCUUGUAUGUAUUCAGGAGGCCAUCAAAAUAAUUCGGAUCAAAAGUUGUUGGAGUUUUUCCUCAAUAAAAAUGUACCAUUUAAAAGU
Molecule: RNA transcript, 1732 nt
Organism: Chelonia mydas (Green sea turtle)
Lineage: Eukaryota; Metazoa; Chordata; Testudines; Cheloniidae
Gene name: DPY30 domain-containing protein 1
Exons: 4
Source: RefSeq, a predicted model, not a curated record